Molecule: ribosomal RNA, 1162 nt
Filed under: Penicillium chrysogenum
Lineage: Eukaryota; Fungi; Ascomycota; Eurotiomycetes; Eurotiales; Aspergillaceae
Description: eukaryotic LSU rRNA
Rfam family: Eukaryotic large subunit ribosomal RNA (bases 265-1162)
Source: RNAcentral
UGCGAUACGUAAUGUGAAUUGCAAUUCAGUGAAUCAUCGAGUCUUUGAACGCACAUUGCGCCCCCUGGUAUUCCGGGGGGCAUGCCUGUCCGAGCGUCAUUGCUGCCCUCAAGCACGGCUUGUGUGUGGCCCCGUCCUCCGAUCCCGGGGGACGGGCCCGAAAGGCAGCGGCGGCACCGCGUCCGGUCCUCGAGCGUAUGGGGCUUUGUCACCCGCUCUGUAGGCCCGGCCGGCGCUUGCCGAUCAACCCAAAUUUAUCCAGGUUGACCUCGGAUCAGGUAGGGAUACCCGCUGAACUUAAGCAUAUCAAUAAGCGGAGGAAAAGAAACCAACAGGGAUUGCCCCAGUAACGGCGAGUGAAGCGGCAAGAGCUCAAAUUGAAGCUGGCUCCUUCGGGGUCCGCAUUGUAAUUUGCAGAGGAUGCUUCGGGAGCGGUCCCCAUCUAAGUGCCCUGGAACGGGACGUCAUAGAGGGUGAGAAUCCCGUAUGGGAUGGGGUGUCCGCGCCGGUGAAGCUCCUUCGACGAGUCGAGUUGUUUGGGAAUGCAGCUCUAAAUGGGUGGUAAAUUUCAUCUAAAGCUAAAUAUUGGCCGGAGACCGAUAGCGCACAAGUAGAGUGAUCGAAAGAUGAAAGCAUUUGAAAAGAGAGUUAAAAAGCACGUGAAAUUGUUGAAAGGGAAGCGCUUGCGACCAGACUCGCUCGCGGGGUUCAGCCGGCAUUCGUGCCGGUGUACUUCCCCGCGGGCGGGCCAGCGUCGUUUGGCGGUCGGUCAAAGGCCCUCGGAAGGUAACGCCCCUAGGGGCGUCUUAUAGCCGAGGGUGCAAUGCGACCUGCCUAGACCGAGGAACGCGCUCGGCUCGACGCUGGCAUAAUGGUCGUAAACACCCGUUUGAAACACGGACCAAGGAGUCUAACAUCUACGCGAGUGUUCGGGUGUCAAACCCGUGCGCGAAGUGAAAGCGAACGGAGGUGGGAACCCUCACGGGUGCACCAUCGACCGAUCCUGAAGCUUCGGAGGAUUUGAGUAAGAGCGUAGCUGUUGGGACCCGAAAGAUGGUGAACUAUGCCUGAAUAGGGCGAAGCCAGAGGAAACUCUGGUGGAGGCUCGUAGCGGUUCUGACGUGCAAAUCGAUCGCGAAUUUGGUAUAGGGGCGAAAGACUA